CAAGUCGAACGCAGUAGCAAUACUGAGUGGCAGACGGGUGAGUAACAUGUGGGAAUCUGCCCUGUGGUUCAGGACAACAUUGGGAAACUGAUGCUAAUACUGGAUAAGCCCUUACGGGGAAAGUUUUAAUGCCAUAAGAUGAGCCCGCAUUUGAUUAGUUAGUUGGUGAGGUAAUGGCUCACCAAGACAAUGAUCAAUAGCUGAUCUGAGAGGAUGAUCAGCCACACUGGGACUGAGACACGGCCCAGACUCCUACGGGAGGCAGCAGUGGGGAAUCUUGCACAAUGGAGGAAACUCUGAUGCAGCGAUGCCGCGUGAGUGAAGAAGGCCUUUGGGUUGUAAAGCUCUUUUGUAGGGGAAGAUAAUGACUGUACCCUAAGAAUAAGGUCCGGCUAACUUCGUGCCAGCAGCCGCGGUAAUACGAAGGGACCUAGCGUAGUUCGGAAUUACUGGGCGUAAAGCGCGCGUAGGCCGUUGAGUUAGUUAAUUGUGAAAUCCCAAAGCUUAACUUUGGAACUGCAAUUAAAACUGCUCGACUAGAGUUUGAUAGAGGAAAGCGGAAUACAUAGUGUAGAGGUGAAAUUCGUAGAUAUUAUGUAGAACACCAGUUGCGAAGGCGGCUUUCUGGAUCAACACUGACGCUGAGGCGCGAAAGUAUGGGUAGCAAAGAGGAUUAGAUACCCUCGUAGUCCAUACCAUAAACGAUGAUUGCUAGAUGUUGGAAAUUUAUUUUCAGUAUCGCAGCUAACGCAUUAAGCAAUCCGCCUGGGGAGUACGACCGCAAGGUUAAAACUCAAAUGAAUUGACGG
RNAcentral lists this ribosomal RNA (809 nucleotides) under uncultured bacterium. RNAcentral describes it as "bacterial SSU rRNA". It matches the Rfam family "Bacterial small subunit ribosomal RNA", at positions 58 to 916 of the family's 1533-position model. The record is from RNAcentral.